UAGAGUUUGAUCAUGGCUCAGGAUGAACGCUAGCGACAGGCUUAACACAUGCAAGUCGAGGGGCAGCGGGGGUGAUGGCUUGCCAUCACCUGCCGGCGACCGGCGCACGGGUGAGUAACACGUAUGCAACCUGCCCGCCACAGGGGGAUAAGCGGAAGAAAUUCCGUCUAAUACCGCGUGACGCGGCGUCGGGGCAUCCCGGUGCCGCCAAAGGGAUUACCGGUGGCGGAUGGGCAUGCGGCGCAUUAGCUAGUCGGCGGGGUAACGGCCCACCGAGGCGACGAUGCGUAGGGGUUCUGAGAGGAAGGUCCCCCACACUGGUACUGAGACACGGACCAGACUCCUACGGGAGGCAGCAGUGAGGAAUAUUGGUCAAUGGGCGCGAGCCUGAACCAGCCAAGUCGCGUGAGGGAUGACGGUCCUACGGAUUGUAAACCUCUUUUGCCGGGGAGCAAGCGUGCGUUCGUGAACGCGCGUCGAGAGUACCCGGAGAAAAAGCAUCGGCUAACUCCGUGCCAGCAGCCGCGGUAAUACGGAGGAUGCGAGCGUUAUCCGGAUUUAUUGGGUUUAAAGGGUGCGUAGGCGGGAUGCCAAGUCAGCGGUAAAAAAGCGGUGCUCAACGCCGUCGAGCCGUUGAAACUGGCGUUCUUGAGUGGGCGAGAAGUAUGCGGAAUGCGUGGUGUAGCGGUGAAAUGCAUAGAUAUCACGCAGAACUCCGAUUGCGAAGGCAGCAUACCGGCGCCCUACUGACGCUGAGGCACGAAAGCGUGGGUAUCGAACAGGAUUAGAUACCCUGGUAGUCCACGCAGUAAACGAUGAAUGCUAACUGUCCGGUGCGAGUGAGCGCUGGGCGGUACAGCGAAAGCGUUAAGCAUUCCACC
This 881-nucleotide ribosomal RNA is filed under the name uncultured bacterium. Its description in RNAcentral is "bacterial SSU rRNA". It matches the Rfam family "Bacterial small subunit ribosomal RNA", at positions 9 to 873 of the family's 1533-position model. The record is from RNAcentral.